This 504-nucleotide ribosomal RNA is filed under the name uncultured bacterium. RNAcentral describes it as "partial 16S ribosomal RNA". It matches the Rfam family "Bacterial small subunit ribosomal RNA", at positions 29 to 523 of the family's 1533-position model. The record is from RNAcentral.
AUUGAACGCUGGCGGCAGGCCUAACACAUGCAAGUCGGACGGUAGCACAGAGAGCUUGCUCUCGGGUGACGAGUGGCGGACGGGUGAGUAAUGUCUGGGGAUCUGCCCGAUAGAGGGGGAUAACCACUGGAAACGGUAGCUAAUACCGCAUAACGUCGCAAGACCAAAGAGGGGGACCUUCGGGCCUCUCACUAUCGGAUGAACCCGGAUGGGAUUAGCUAGUAGGCGGGGUAACGGCCCACCUAGGCAACGCUCCCUAGCUCGUCUGAGAGGAUGAGCAGCCACACUGGACAUGAGACACGGUCCAGACUCCUACGGGAGGCAGCAGUGGGGAAUAUUGCACAAUGGGCGCAAGCCUGAUGCAGCCAUGCCGCGUGUAUGAAGAAGGCCUUCGGGUUGUAAAGUACUUUCAGCGGGGAGGAAGGCGAUGUGGUUAAUAACCGCGUCGAUUGACGUUACCCGCAGAAGAAGCACCGGCUAACUCCGUGCCAGCAGCCGCAGUAA